CACCUCCUCUGUUCGCCACUCUCCCUCGCUCUAUGUCUCCUCAUCUCCCCAUCCGAGCUAGGGCUUUUCGCUCUCGACGGUGCUUUGGGUUAGGGUUCUUGUGCUCCAUUAGCGAGCAAAACUGCUGUUCAGGUAUGGUUUGCCCUACAUGCCGCAACCCUAACGGGCCCUGCCCCUUGGUGGUGUGCUUGGGGUGAAUGGAUUUCUUCAAUAGUUUGAUGUUGUGCUCCAUGAAAGUUGUUGGAGGCGCAUGGUGAGUUCAAUGUACUGAUGACCCACAAGUGUAGGGGAUCUAUCAUAGUCCUUUUCGAUAAGUAAGAGUGUCGAACCCAACGAGGAGCAGAAGGAAAUGAUAAG
Long non-coding RNA from Triticum dicoccoides, 357 nucleotides. RefSeq lists it as uncharacterized. The record is from RefSeq and is a predicted model, not a curated record. The transcript is spliced from 3 exons. NCBI's taxonomy places the organism in Eukaryota, Viridiplantae, Streptophyta, Magnoliopsida, Poales, Poaceae.